This 465-nucleotide ribosomal RNA is filed under the name uncultured bacterium. Its description in RNAcentral is "partial 16S ribosomal RNA". It matches the Rfam family "Bacterial small subunit ribosomal RNA", at positions 339 to 795 of the family's 1533-position model. The record is from RNAcentral.
CUACGGGAGGCACCAGUGGGGAAUAUUGGACAAUGGGGGCAACCCUGAUCCAGCAAUACCGCGUGUGUGAAGAAGGGAGGAGGGGUGUGGGGAACGGGCAGGGGGGAGGAGGGGGGGGAGGGGGAAGAGAAGUGGAGAUUGAAGAGAAGGAAAGAAGAAGCACCGGCUAGCUCAGUGCCAGCAGCCGCGGUAAUACUGAGGGUGCAAGCGUUAAUCGGAAUUACUGGGCGUAAAGCGCGCGUAGGUGGUUAGAUCAGUUGGGUGUGAAAGCCCCGGGCUCAACCUGGGAAUUGCAUCCAAUACUGUCUGGCUAGAGUAUGGUAGAGGGAAGUGGAAUUCCGCAUGUAGCGGUGAAAUGCGUAGAGAUGCGGAGGAACACCAGUGGCGAAGGCGACUUUCUGGACCAAUACUGACACUGAGGUGCGAAAGCGUGGGGAGCAAACAGGAUUAGAUACCCUUGUAGCC